ACAAAUGUAAAAUCCUUCUGUCACUGAUUUUUAUCUCAUGACUCAAAAUAAUGUGAUUGGUUUUGCAUCCAUAGAAUUGCAAACUAUUCACCACCAGUUCCUCCUCUGAAAUAAAGUUUAUGCAUGUAGCAAAUUAUAUUAUGACGUGUGCAAGAUGAAUAAAUGUUGUAGAUGUACAUUUUUUCAUUGGUUAUUGUAUUGAAAUGAUAACAACUUGCCCACAGUGAUUGUCUAAUAAUAUCACAAUUAAUUUAUAUCCCUAUAAUACUAACUGUAUGAACUGCUGUGAAAAAAUAGACUGAAAAACACAGCACGGGUGAUAAAAAGACUGUGACACUAGAUCUGGUUACACGCUGGCAAGUGGGAGAUGACAGGUGACCCAUUUUGAAUCUGGCAAACAGGAAGCAGAGGUCGUCGCAGUACAACAGAGCUUUCUCUGUGCGGCUGAAUAUGUCAAAAACAGCUGGUCUCACAUCGCCAUCCGGAUCUAUUGUGCUCGUCCACAUGGUGGUGUUACUGCACCGCGCUGCCACGCCGGUGAUGCAAAUCACCGGUGGUUGACAAUAACAUACUGAAGAGUAAACUGUGCCCGAUUUGCAAAUACCUCCAUGGAUGUAGUCUUCUUCGUUGCAUGUCUUUCUACCUGGAAUGCUCUGAUGAUGAUCUAUGAGGACCUCCGGGUUAUUAUUUAUUAUUAAUAGUAUUUUAACAUGUCCUAUUAAGAUGUCUGUUUGAUCCAAACAUUCAAUCAAAAUAUUUGCAGCUGUCAGUAAAAUGUGCCGGUAUUUUACAGCAACAGGCAAACACAUUUCUAUUUUGUUUUAAUAACUUUUUGCACAUUAUCCCCCCCAAACACAAAGAGAGAAAAUUGUACAAGAAGAAUAUGAAUAAUGAAUAAUUAGACUCAAUCUUCUUGACAUCAUUAUCCUCCUAAGUGUCACACUCUGUUUCCCGUCCCUCCCUCCCAGACACUCUUCUGGUUCCACAUAUCUCACCAUUAUCAUUUUCUAUCCGUCCACUAAAGGUACUUUCUGUUCCCUGUUUCCACGUCUCUAAUGAGCAAAGCCCGGCUCGCUCACCUGUGCCUCAUUCCACCAUAACCACACUCCACAAACACAUAUAACUAUCGCAGGUAAAACAAGCAGCAGAGGAAAGAUCACACAUAGAGAUUAUUUAUUGAUUUAUUUUGAUAGACAAGUUAGUAACGUGCUGUGGAUUGACCACAGAAUAAAACGAGUGUGCAUGCUGAUCUUCUUGAUAAAAUAUCUUUAUUGCCACAAUAUUAUUUGUUGUUGGCGAUGCCUUUUAAACAACCAAACCUGACUCGUUGUCAGAACGCCAUGUUUCAUUGCAUAGUACGUAUAACAUUUAGUGCAAAUCCUUUUACUGAAAUUAAACAAUCUAUGAUUUGAUCAGUGAUAGUGAUUAGCUAAAGAUUUGUUAGUUGUCUCCUUUUAAAAAUUAGCUGACCAGCACAUUGUCCUGUGUCAAAUCUUGCAUAUCCUUUAUAGAUAGCUUCAUUUGAUUUGGUGACAAUCUUGUUUUAUUACUGAUAGUCAUCUUCUUUCAAGACAGCUCAAAAUUAUGCAAAUGAUGUUGUGACGAGCACUCAAACUGUAAUCUACAUUUACUUGUAUUUCUGUGUCACAUUAAAGAUGUUGCCUGUACUAUGGAAAUGGAUGUAAGAAAAUUGGCCGUUCUCAGGUAACACAGUCGAAAGAUGCAUAGAAUAAAAAAAGGAAAGACAUGCGACACUGGACGUCUACUCAGCACCACAUGUUGUCCCUGUGGUUUGGUGGAGAAUCCAUGACGACGUGUCCGACUCAGGACAGCAGAAGGCAUCGUCAGUCUUUUCCUGUCCUACAAUCUGAAUGGAAGUAAAGCGAUAGGUUCACAUGAAGAAGAUUUAUUUGUUGUUCAGCUGAGGAAGAAAUUGGGAUUUAUUCAUGGUUAAGUGGUACUGAGUCUCUAUUUUCAAGGUUAUUUGUUUCAUUUUAGGGGCACGACUUUGCUUUUCUAAUCAAAAAUCUUCUGUGUCCCACUGUAUGUGAGUUUCUCAUGGUACCUUCAUAGGUGUUGUGCAUAAAGGGAUGUAAAGACCAUUUCAUGGAAAAAACAGACAUAACAGCAAAUAACGCAACUUGAA
Long non-coding RNA from Gasterosteus aculeatus aculeatus (three-spined stickleback), 2146 nucleotides. Lineage: Eukaryota; Metazoa; Chordata; Actinopteri; Perciformes; Gasterosteidae. The record is from Ensembl.